GGAGAGGUGUCCGAGUGGUUGAAGGAGCUCGCCUCGAAAGCGAGUGGGCCCAUCGGGUCCCGGGGGUUCGAAUCCCCCCCUCUCCG
This 86-nucleotide transfer RNA is filed under the name Candidatus Eiseniibacteriota bacterium. RNAcentral's name for it is "tRNA-Ser". It matches the Rfam family "tRNA". Rfam says of the family: Transfer RNA (tRNA) molecules are approximately 80 nucleotides in length. The record is from RNAcentral. Lineage: Bacteria; Candidatus Eiseniibacteriota.